This 1131-nucleotide ribosomal RNA is filed under the name Escherichia coli. RNAcentral's name for it is "partial 23S ribosomal RNA". It matches the Rfam family "Bacterial large subunit ribosomal RNA", at positions 612 to 1746 of the family's 2925-position model. The record is from RNAcentral. Lineage: Bacteria; Pseudomonadati; Pseudomonadota; Gammaproteobacteria; Enterobacterales; Enterobacteriaceae.
AUAAUGGGUCAGCGACUUAUAUUCUGUAGCAAGGUUAACCGAAUAGGGGAGCCGAAGGGAAACCGAGUCUUAACUGGGCGUUAAGUUGCAGGGUAUAGACCCGAAACCCGGUGAUCUAGCCAUGGGCAGGUUGAAGGUUGGGUAACACUAACUGGAGGACCGAACCGACUAAUGUUGAAAAAUUAGCGGAUGACUUGUGGCUGGGGGUGAAAGGCCAAUCAAACCGGGAGAUAGCUGGUUCUCCCCGAAAGCUAUUUAGGUAGCGCCUCGUGAAUUCAUCUCCGGGGGUAGAGCACUGUUUCGGCAAGGGGGUCAUCCCGACUUACCAACCCGAUGCAAACUGCGAAUACCGGAGAAUGUUAUCACGGGAGACACACGGCGGGUGCUAACGUCCGUCGUGAAGAGGGAAACAACCCAGACCGCCAGCUAAGGUCCCAAAGUCAUGGUUAAGUGGGAAACGAUGUGGGAAGGCCCAGACAGCCAGGAUGUUGGCUUAGAAGCAGCCAUCAUUUAAAGAAAGCGUAAUAGCUCACUGGUCGAGUCGGCCUGCGCGGAAGAUGUAACGGGGCUAAACCAUGCACCGAAGCUGCGGCAGCGACACUAUGUGUUGUUGGGUAGGGGAGCGUUCUGUAAGCCUGUGAAGGUGUGCUGUGAGGCAUGCUGGAGGUAUCAGAAGUGCGAAUGCUGACAUAAGUAACGAUAAAGCGGGUGAAAAGCCCGCUCGCCGGAAGACCAAGGGUUCCUGUCCAACGUUAAUCGGGGCAGGGUGAGUCGACCCCUAAGGCGAGGCCGAAAGGCGUAGUCGAUGGGAAACAGGUUAAUAUUCCUGUACUUGGUGUUACUGCGAAGGGGGGACGGAGAAGGCUAUGUUGGCCGGGCGACGGUUGUCCCGGUUUAAGCGUGUAGGCUGGUUUUCCAGGCAAAUCCGGAAAAUCAAGGCUGAGGCGUGAUGACGAGGCACUACGGUGCUGAAGCAACAAAUGCCCUGCUUCCAGGAAAAGCCUCUAAGCAUCAGGUAACAUCAAAUCGUACCCCAAACCGACACAGGUGGUCAGGUAGAGAAUACCAAGGCGCUUGAGAGAACUCGGGUGAAGGAACUAGGCAAAAUGGUGCCGUAACUUCGGGAGAAGG